AGAGUUUGAUCCUGGCUCAGAUUGAACGCUGGCGGUAUGCUUAACACAUGCAAGUCGAACGGAAACGAAACUAGCUUGCUAGUAGGCGUCGAGUGGCGGACGGGUGAGUAACGCGUAGGAAUCUGCCUGAUAGUGGGGGAUAGCCCGAAGAAAUUCGGAUUAAUACCGCAUAAUCUAUUCGUAGUAAAGUGGGGGACUUUCGAGCCUCACGCUAUCAGAUGAGCCUGCGUAAGAUUAGCUUGUUGGUAGGGUAAAAGCCUACCAAGGCAACGAUCUUUAGCUGGUCUGAGAGGAUGAUCAGCCACAUCGGGACUGAGACACGGCCCGAACUCCUACGGGAGGCAGCAGUGGGGAAUAUUGGACAAUGGGGGCAACCCUGAUCCAGCAAUACCGCGUGUGUGAAGAAGGCCUGAGGGUUGUAAAGCACUUUCAAUUGUGAAGAAAAGUUAACGGUUAAUAACCGUUGACCUUGACGUUAACUUUAGAAGAAGCACCGGCUAACUCCGUGCCAGCAGCCGCGGUAAUACGGAGGGUGCAAGCGUUAAUCGGAAUUACUGGGCGUAAAGCGUGCGUAGGCGGUUUAUUAAGUCAGAUGUGAAAGCCCCGGGCUUAACCUGGGAACUGCAUUUGAAACUGGUCAACUAGAGUAUGGUAGAGGAAAGUGGAAUUUCUGGUGUAGCGGUGAAAUGCGUAGAUAUCAGAAGGAACAUCAAUGGCGAAGGCAGCUUUCUGGACCAAUACUGACGCUGAGGUACGAAAGCGUGGGUAGCAAACAGGAUUAGAUACCCUGGUAGUCCACGCCGUAAACGAUGAUAACUAGCCGUUGGGGGGAUUUACCCCUUAGUGGCGAAGCUAACGCGUUAAGUUAUCCGCCUGGGGAGUACGGCCGCAAGGCUAAAACUCAAAGGAAUUGACGGGGACCCGCACAAGCGGUGGAGCAUGUGGUUUAAUUCGAUGCAACGCGAAGAACCUUACCUGGUCUUGACAUCCUGCGAACUUUCUAGAAAUAGAUUGGUGCCUUCGGGAACGCAGUGACAGGUGCUGCAUGGCUGUCGUCAGCUCGUGUCGUGAGAUGUUGGGUUAAGUCCCGUAACGAGCGCAACCCCUAUCCUUAUUUGCCAGCACAUUAUGGUGGGAACUAUAAGGAGACUGCCGGUGAUAAACCGGAGGAAGGCGGGGACGACGUCAAGUCAUCAUGGCCCUUACGACCAGGGCUACACACGUGCUACAAUGGGAAGGACAAAGAGCCGCGAAGCCGCGAGGUGUAGCUAAUCUCAUAAAUCUUUUCGUAGUCCGGAUUGGAGUCUGCAACUCGACUCCAUGAAGUCGGAAUCGCUAGUAAUCGUAGAUCAGAAUGCUACGGUGAAUACGUUCCCGGGUCUUGUACACACCGCCCGUCAUACCAUGGGAGUGGGUUGCACCAGAAGUGACUAGUCUAACUUUGUGAGGACGGUCACCACGGUGUGAUUCAUGACUGGGGUAAAGUCGUAACAAGGUAACC
RNAcentral lists this ribosomal RNA (1501 nucleotides) under uncultured bacterium. RNAcentral describes it as "bacterial SSU rRNA". It matches the Rfam family "Bacterial small subunit ribosomal RNA". The record is from RNAcentral.